RNAcentral lists this ribosomal RNA (185 nucleotides) under uncultured eukaryote. Its description in RNAcentral is "partial 18S ribosomal RNA". It matches the Rfam family "Eukaryotic small subunit ribosomal RNA", at positions 1299 to 1458 of the family's 1831-position model. The record is from RNAcentral.
UGGUGGAGUGAUUUGUCUGGUUAAUUCCGAUAACGAACGAGACUCUGUCCUGCUAACUAGGUUGUGUUUUCGCGGGUUGGUGUUCUGGUGUUCCUUCUCGGGGCGCCGGCCCAAUCCACUUGUGAACACAACACUCUUCUUAGAGGGACUGGCGGCUGUUAGCCGCACGAGAUAGAGCAAUAACA